This 276-nucleotide unclassified non-coding RNA is filed under the name uncultured Sordariomycetes. RNAcentral's name for it is "sequence contains ITS2". Lineage: Eukaryota; Fungi; Ascomycota; Sordariomycetes. The record is from RNAcentral.
AACGCACAUUGCGCCCAUCAGUACUCUGGUGGGCAUGCCUGUUCGAGCGUCAUUUCAACCCUCAGGCCCUGUACUGCCUGGCGUUGGGGCUUCUGCGAGCAUUCUCCUCCAAGAACUCUCGCAGGCCCCCAAGAUCAGUGGCGGGCCCGCCGCGGCUCCGAGCGUAGUAGUUUACUUUCUCGCUUGGGAGGCUCGGCGGUGCCCAGCCGUCAAAAAACACCACUGUAAUUUUACAAGGUUGACCUCGGAUCAGGUAGGAAUACCCGCUGAACUUAA